UCAAGGACAUGCUUCUUGAGCACAAUACAAUUGAAACACGCAGAGAAGUAGCCAUCUGCUGCCUUAUCACUUUCCUUGGAGAGAAGGAAGAGAUCCUUUUCAUGGAGUUCGAUAUAAGUUGGCCUUAAGUUAACGCCGAAGAACUUAAGGCCAACCUUGAAAGGCGGGUGAUGAAAACUGCCAUCAUCAGUGACCGGUACACCCCUGGAUCUAACCAUAAGACUGCAACCAUUGUGGUGGAGGAAACAAAAAUCAUGGAGGGCCAGAAUUUCCCAAGGUGCUGUGUUUUGCUCAUGGGCAUAAUAUAUGCUCUCAAUCUGAGCUAAUGCAAGGAUCUGA
Astatotilapia calliptera (eastern happy) is the source of this 339-nucleotide long non-coding RNA. NCBI's taxonomy places the organism in Eukaryota, Metazoa, Chordata, Actinopteri, Cichliformes, Cichlidae. The record is from Ensembl.